AUUUUUUAAUAUUAAACAAAUUUCUGGUGAUUUUUAUUCUGGCGAUUUUAAGCACUAAUAUGCAAAAAGUGAUAUCCACAAAACGAUUUAAUACUAUUUCUAUACAACAGUAUUUUUGCACUCUUUCUACCAUUCUUGAUCCCGUUUUAAGAUAUUUCUAGAACCAGAAUUUACUUUUGAUUAAUAUUGGAUUGGCGUCUUUCUUUUGGCUUUUUGACUUCAACCUAUUAAAACCUAAAACGUGCUAAGUGAUUUUGAAGAAAUUAUAAUUUUUACAAAAAGUGUAUAAAGUGUUAUAGUUAACAACUUAAAUUUAAAUUUCAACAAGUGAAAAUAUAAUAAUCCAGAUAUCGGAAAAUUUGCCUAAAAAACUGUACUGGACCACGUUUCACUUUCAAGUCCCGUUGUUAUAUAACUGUACUGGACCACGCUUCCUUUCUCAAGUCCCGUCGUUACAUAAUAGGCAUACUUGCCUGGGACUUGGAAAUAACAGUUGGAAAUUUUAGUGUCUAUAUUGUUCGUCUUGGAAAGAUUAGAUUUAAACGAUUUAAACGACACAUAUCUCAUGAAAAAGUGGUAACAACAUCCAGCAGUAUUCAACAUUUCAACGUGAUUUGUAACCAACUAAAUACAAGAAAAAAAAAGUCAAAGGAAGAAUUAGGCUUCAAGAUAAAUUCGGAAAAGUAGCAAAAGCUUGGAAGCAUCUUCAGAAAAGUUUGCCAAAAGUCCAGUAAUCAAAAUCUAACAAUAUAAUUUAAAUUAUUUAACAAAAUCCUAAAUAUUACAUAUCCAAUUCCAAUCUAACUUAAAUUUUAAAAUCACAUUUCAUACAUAUUGAGAUAACCUAAAUUUUUGAAAAUGGUUUCUUAAAAACUAAAAUAACUCAACCAAAA
This is a long non-coding RNA of Lucilia sericata (common green bottle fly), 893 nucleotides long. RefSeq lists it as uncharacterized. The record is from RefSeq and is a predicted model, not a curated record. NCBI's taxonomy places the organism in Eukaryota, Metazoa, Arthropoda, Insecta, Diptera, Calliphoridae. The transcript is spliced from 3 exons.